Molecule: non-coding RNA, 137 nt
Organism: Brachypodium distachyon (stiff brome)
Lineage: Eukaryota; Viridiplantae; Streptophyta; Magnoliopsida; Poales; Poaceae
Source: Rfam
AUACUACUUUUUCCGUCCAACAAAAGAUGUCUCAACUUUAACUUAAAUUUGAAUGCAUCUAUAAACUAAGUCAUGUCUAGAUAUAUUCAAAUUUUGACAAAACUGAGACAUCUUUUAUUGGAUGGAGCGAGUAUAAA